This 107-nucleotide non-coding RNA is filed under the name Microvirga vignae. RNAcentral's name for it is "SAM-I-IV sequence". It matches the Rfam family "SAM-I/IV (S-adenosyl methionine) riboswitch aptamer". From Rfam's summary of the family: It is found upstream of a number of genes which code for proteins involved in methionine or cysteine biosynthesis. The record is from Rfam by way of RNAcentral. Lineage: Bacteria; Pseudomonadati; Pseudomonadota; Alphaproteobacteria; Hyphomicrobiales; Methylobacteriaceae.
CGGUGACAUCAAGAGUUGGACUGACGUCCAACGCCAACCUGCUGACCGAGCAAGGUGGCGCUUCCGCCAGGAAGGAUGUGGCCAAACCGGCAACGAAACGGGAUCCC